CGUAAUUUUGGGGGGGGACGGGUGGGACAUGUCCCCCCCACUUUUUCAAAAGGCAGUUUCGGUCCCCUUCACUUUUUUCCGUCAAAAAACAAUGUUACGCUCCAUUAAAUGGAUUUGGUUGAGCACUAGGACCGAAACGGAAACCGGUUUCCUAUUAGACCCACCCAAAAGCUAAUCUAUUGGCUCUGCUGAUACUUGCUAACGUAUUAUUGGCUGUUGCUGCUGUCACUCCAAGUAGUAAACAGAACGUGCUCACGUUGUUUUGCUAGUUUGGAGCCGCUAGGGAACACCGGUACUGAGUCACAUCGUCAACUAGACGCUGUGUAAUAUCAGAGCUCAGCUCAGCUUCCAUUACACAACAUUUGAAUAAGUGUUCAUUUGUGAGUGUUUGGUAGUUAUGCACAGCCAGGCGGCAGCAUGUCAAGAAACAAAAGUGGAUAUAAGAGACUUCUUUCAAAGUCAAAACGUGACCGACAGAGAUGCAGGAGGAGAGACCGGUGAAGGUACAGCAGGAGAGGCUGUAGGAGAUGGAGGACGAGAGCCUGGAGGAGAUGGAGCAGAGGCUGGAGGCUCACAG
This is a long non-coding RNA of Nothobranchius furzeri (turquoise killifish), 577 nucleotides long. RefSeq lists it as uncharacterized. The record is from RefSeq and is a predicted model, not a curated record. NCBI's taxonomy places the organism in Eukaryota, Metazoa, Chordata, Actinopteri, Cyprinodontiformes, Nothobranchiidae.